CGAGACGGGUGAGUAUGCAUAGGAAUCUACCUUCGUAGUAUGGGAUUAGCCACUUAGAAAUGGUGGGUAAUACUCGUAUAAUCCCUGCGGGGGAAAGAUUUAUCGCUAUUAGAUGAGCCUAUGUUAGAUUAGCUAGUUGGUAGGGUAAAGGCCUACCAAGGCAGUGAUCUAUAGCUGGUCUGAGAGGAUGAUCAGCCACACUGGAACUGAGAUACGGUCCAGACUCCUACGGGAGGCAGCAGUGGGGAAUAUUGGACAAUGGGCGCAAGCCUGAUCCAGCUAUGCCGCGUGAGUGAGGAAGGCCUUAGGGUUGUAAAACUCUUUCAGUGGGGAAGAUAAUGACGGUACCCACAGAAGAAGCCGGCGCAAACUCAAA
This 376-nucleotide ribosomal RNA is filed under the name Anaplasma platys. RNAcentral's name for it is "bacterial SSU rRNA". It matches the Rfam family "Bacterial small subunit ribosomal RNA", at positions 98 to 506 of the family's 1533-position model. Lineage: Bacteria; Pseudomonadati; Pseudomonadota; Alphaproteobacteria; Rickettsiales; Anaplasmataceae. The record is from RNAcentral.